RNAcentral lists this long non-coding RNA (217 nucleotides) under Elaeis guineensis (African oil palm). RNAcentral describes it as "long non-coding RNA (EGUI_LNC057355)". The record is from RNAcentral. Lineage: Eukaryota; Viridiplantae; Streptophyta; Magnoliopsida; Arecales; Arecaceae.
CUUAAUGGUGCCUCUAUUAGCUCCAAAUUCAAACCCAAUUAUGUAUGUGUCAGUCCUUCCACCUCAUGAACUUCAUCAAAUUUAAUUUUAUAGGUAUUAGCUCUUUCACCAAGGAACUUCUUUUUUAAAAAGAUUGUCCGACUGCUGACAAACACCUUUUGUUCUGCAGCAAGGUAGAAGUAGUACCCUUAAGUUUUCUUUGGAUACCCUACGAACA